Molecule: ribosomal RNA, 896 nt
Filed under: uncultured bacterium
Lineage: Bacteria
Description: bacterial SSU rRNA
Rfam family: Bacterial small subunit ribosomal RNA
Source: RNAcentral
CGUGCUUAACACAUGCAAGUCGAACGCGAACGUUUCCUUCGGGAAACUAGUAGAGUGGCGCACGGGUGAGUAACGCGUAAGUAAUCUACCCUCGCAUUUGGGAUAACCCACCGAAAGGUGUGCUAAUACCGGAUACGUCUACAAUUAUACUUUGUUUGUAGAGAAAGGUGGCCUCUGAUUUAAGCUACUGUGCGGGGAGGAGCUUGCGUACCAUUAGCUAGUUGGUAGGGUAAUGGCCUACCAAGGCAAUGAUGGUUAGCGGGUCUGAGAGGAUGAUCCGCCACACUGGAACUGGAACACGGACCAGACUCCUACGGGAGGCAGCAGUGAGGAAUAUUGCGCAAUGGGGGAAACCCUGACGCAGCGACGCCGCGUGGAUGACGAAGGCCUUCGGGUUGUAAAAUCCUGUCAGAUGGGAAGAAAUGCACUAUGUCUAAUAUAUAUAGUGUUUGACGGUACCAUUAAAGGAAGCACCGGCUAACUCCGUGCCAGCAGCCGCGGUAAUACGGAGGGUGCAAGCGUUGUUCGGAAUUACUGGGCGUAAAGCGCGCGUAGGCGGCUAUAUAAGUCAGGUGUGAAAGUCCACGGCUCAACCGUGGAAGUGCAUUUGAAACUGUGUAGCUUGAGUACUGGAGGGGGUAGUGGAAUUCCCGGUGUAGAGGUGAAAUUCGUAGAUAUCGGGAGGAAUGCCGGUGGCGAAGGCGACUACCUGGCCAGAUACUGACGCUGAGGUGCGAAAGCGUGGGGAGCAAACAGGAUUAGAUACCCUGGUAGUCCACGCCGUAAACGAUGUCAACUAGGUGUUGGAGUGGUUAAUCGCUUCAUUGCCGGAGCUAACGCAUUAAGUUGACCGCCUGGGGAGUACGGUCGCAAGAUAAAACUCAAAGGAAUUGACG